RNAcentral lists this ribosomal RNA (119 nucleotides) under Pteropus alecto (black flying fox). The record is from RNAcentral. Lineage: Eukaryota; Metazoa; Chordata; Mammalia; Chiroptera; Pteropodidae.
GUCUACGGCCAUGCCACCCUGAACGUACCUGAUCUCACCUGAUCUCGGAAGCUAAGCAGCAUCGGGCCUGGUUAGUACUUGGAUGUGAGACCACCUAGGAAUACCAGGUGCUGUAGGCG